RNAcentral lists this ribosomal RNA (421 nucleotides) under uncultured bacterium. RNAcentral's name for it is "bacterial SSU rRNA". It matches the Rfam family "Bacterial small subunit ribosomal RNA", at positions 355 to 773 of the family's 1533-position model. The record is from RNAcentral.
UGAGGAAUAUUGGUCAAUGGGGGCAACCCUGAACCAGCCAAGUCGCGUGAAGGAUGAAGGUCUUAUGGAUUGUAAACUUCUUUUACACGGGAAUAAAGCGGGGGACGUGUCCCUCUUUGCAUGUACCGUGUGAAUAAGGAUCGGCUAACUCCGUGCCAGCAGCCGCGGUAAUACGGAGGAUCCGAGCGUUAUCCGGAUUUAUUGGGUUUAAAGGGUGCGCAGGCGGGAUGUUAAGUCGGCGGUGAAAUUUUGCAGCUCAACUGUAAAAGUGCCUUCGAUACUGGCCUUCUUGAGUGUGGAUGAAGUAGGCGGAAUUUGUGGUGUAGCGGUGAAAUGCUUAGAUAUCACGAGGAACUCCGAUUGCGCAGGCAGCUUACUAAGCCACAACUGACGCUCAUGCACGAAGGCGUGGGGAUCAAAC